AAAUUGAAGAGUUUGAUCAUGGCUCAGAUUGAACGCUGGCGGCAGGCCUAACACAUGCAAGUCGAACGGUAACAGGAAGCAGCUUGCUGCUUCGCUGACAAGUGGCGGACGGGUGAGUAAUGUCUGGGAAACUGCCUGAUGGAGGGGGAUAACUACUGGAAACGGUGGCUAAUACCGCAUAACGUCGCAAGACCAAAGAGGGGGACCUUCGGGCCUCUUGCCAUCAGAUGUGCCCAGAUGGGAUUAGCU
This 249-nucleotide ribosomal RNA is filed under the name Salmonella enterica subsp. enterica serovar Rubislaw. Its description in RNAcentral is "partial 16S ribosomal RNA". It matches the Rfam family "Bacterial small subunit ribosomal RNA", at positions 1 to 246 of the family's 1533-position model. RNAcentral also lists the same sequence under 6 other names. Lineage: Bacteria; Pseudomonadati; Pseudomonadota; Gammaproteobacteria; Enterobacterales; Enterobacteriaceae. The record is from RNAcentral.